AUCUGAUCCAGCCAUGCCGCGUGCAGGAAGACGGCCCUAUGGGUUGUAAACUGCUUUUGUAUGGGAGCAAUAAGAUCUACGUGUAGAUUGAUGAGAGUACCAUACGAAUAAGCACCGGCUAACUCCGUGCCAGCAGCCGCGGUAAUACGGAGGGUGCAAGCGUUAUCCGGAUUUAUUGGGUUUAAAGGGUGCGUAGGCGGUUUGAUAAGUCAGCGGUGAAAUAUUUCAGCUUAACUGGAAGGGUGCCGUUGAUACUGUCGAGCUUGAAUUUAGUUGCUGUGGGUGGAAUGUGUGGUGUAGCGGUGAAAUGCAUAGAUAUCACACAGAAUAUCGAUUGCGAAGGCAGCUCACAAAGCUAAUAUUGACGCUGAUGCACGAAAGUGUGGGG
Molecule: ribosomal RNA, 388 nt
Filed under: uncultured Clostridium sp.
Lineage: Bacteria; Bacillati; Bacillota; Clostridia; Eubacteriales; Clostridiaceae
Description: bacterial SSU rRNA
Rfam family: Bacterial small subunit ribosomal RNA
Source: RNAcentral